AAACAUUGAUUUUACAUUACACUUAAUAUUCCGCCCGGGAAUUACAAGCACUAGCUUAAAACCCAAAGGACUUGGCGGUGCUUAAUAUCCACCUAGAGGAGCCUGUUCUAUAACCGAUAAUCCCCGCUUAACCUCACCCCCUCUUGCCCUUACCGCCUAUAUACCACCGUCGUAAGCCUACCCUGUGAAGGCCCAAUAGUAUGCAAAACUAGUAUAGCCCCGAACGUCAGGUCAAGGUGUAGUACAUGAGAGGAGAAAGAAAUGGGCUACAUUCAUCAAUUCUAGUGAACACGAAUGAUGCACUGAAAACCUAUGCAGCUGAAGGAGGAUUUAGUAGUAAGAGAGAAACAGAGUGUCUC
RNAcentral lists this ribosomal RNA (359 nucleotides) under Lates calcarifer (barramundi perch). RNAcentral's name for it is "partial 12S ribosomal RNA". It matches the Rfam family "Bacterial small subunit ribosomal RNA", at positions 804 to 1360 of the family's 1533-position model. The record is from RNAcentral. Lineage: Eukaryota; Metazoa; Chordata; Actinopteri; Centropomidae.